Long non-coding RNA from Panicum virgatum (switchgrass), 514 nucleotides. RefSeq lists it as uncharacterized. Lineage: Eukaryota; Viridiplantae; Streptophyta; Magnoliopsida; Poales; Poaceae. The transcript has 2 exons. The record is from RefSeq and is a predicted model, not a curated record.
AGUCGUGUGCGAGACGAGACCGCAUCCGGGCGCCGCCGGCCGUCCUCCUCCUCGUCCAGGUGUCGCCGGCCGUCCUCCUCCUCGUCCAGGUGCCACCGGCCCUCCUCCUCCUCCGCCGCUCCAUCCUCGUCGCUGCCCCACCUCCCCGUUGGCUGCAACACCCCCGCCCCCCCGGAGGUCUCAAUCUACAGCCAUCCCUCUAGCUCGGUCGUCUCUACCUCGUCUUCCUCCUCAGCACCUAUCUUGCUGCUUUAAAGGACGUCAUCUCCAAGAUCCACUACAAGAUUAUCAUCUCCUAACUUUUUUGGAUCAGGUAAGCCAAAACUAGAUAGCAGGUUGUGUUGUCAGUAGUUGGGUUGGAUAAUAGCUUAGCCUGAUUUUCAUUUACUCUGGUGAUGAUGUAGAGGAUUUUGGUUGCUCUUUUUUUCCCUUCUGAUUGUUGAUGUAGAGAACCAAUUAGAUAGUGAAUCUUGUAGCAUUAACUUUGGUUUGCAAUCUAUGCUUAUUUUAGCUA